Molecule: long non-coding RNA, 882 nt
Organism: Dunckerocampus dactyliophorus (ringed pipefish)
Lineage: Eukaryota; Metazoa; Chordata; Actinopteri; Syngnathiformes; Syngnathidae
Exons: 4
Source: RefSeq, a predicted model, not a curated record
UGUCGAUUGCGCGUGUGUUAACUUUCUCUCUCCGCACAGAUAGACUACUACUGUAUUUUUACCAUUUUUCUUUCACCUCAUAUUUGGUCUCAAAUGCUGAUACUAUGUGGGAAUGCAUAAAGUGUGUUGACCAACGCGCUCCAUUGAGUGUUGUUCCAGACGAGCAGCGAGAAGGACAGUGAGUACGAGGACGAAACACGACAACAAUGGCUGGGUGCACAGACUAAGGAGGGGUGAGCAGGGCAAGUGCGGCCCAUACGUGUCCAGCAUGAGCGAGCUGGCCUGUUCCAGGUUCCACUGGCAGCGCUGCAGGAGUGCCUCGCAGUCGGACCGGGACCGCAGGCCCAGACGAAACAACUGCUCCACCUUCAUCAACAAUGACUGACAGAAUCAAAACCAAAGGCAGCAAAAAUCUCUUGAAGAAAUGACGUCAAAAGAAGCAAAUGUCAGAGCUAAGCUCUGUGAAGUGAUUGACAUAGGGAGACAAAUACACUUAAGGCUGUCCGUCAAGCGGAGAUUGUAUUGAGUGAUUCUUGCAUGAUUUUUUUCCAUUCAUCAGUUUAUCGAAACUUCGGUAAAAAUAGUGUCAAGUGUGUCCAAAUGGCAGAAAAGAGAAUGCGGCUGCAUAACUGCUGCUGAUACAAGCAUCUCAUGCCAAAAACACUCAAUUUGUCGUCCCGCCUGUCAGUCGAGUGCAGAGUGUCUCACAUCGCACCUCUCCAGUAAAGCUGGUCGCUCUGGCAACGGGGCCGGGACGGCGCUCUGUGAGCUGUCAAUCACAGAGGAGAGUCCCCGAGCCUCCCGCAAGGCCAGAGGGUCCGAGGAGGAAGAAGAACCAGGAGGAGCCACUUUGGGAGGUGAGGAGGAGGACAGGAGUGGACC